GACAUUACGCCCCUGCUAAAAUCGGUUUCCUAUUGAACAUACUUCUUUCCGUAAGAAAUAGUAUAGUUUGAUUACAUUUUAGGGUAUCUGAGGAGUAAAUAGACAUGUAUUUUGACUUGUGAACCAAAGUUUAGGGGUAGAUUUUUGGAUUCCUUUCUCUGCAUGUUGAACGAGUGGAUUACUCAAAUUGAUGGCGCCAACUAAACAGACUUUUUGGAAUAUAAAGAACUAUUUUAUCUAACAAAAUGACACUACAUGUUAUAGCUGGCACCCUUUGGAUGACAAAUCAGAAGAACAUUUUCAAAAGCACAAAGACCAGAACAACCCACUCCAGCCUACAUACAACCAUCUGAUGACCUGAGCCCUAGGACCAUGCCUCAGGACUACCUGGCUUGAUGACUCCUUGCAGUCCCCAGUUCACCUGGGCGUGCUGCUGCUCCAGUUCCAACUGUUCUGCCUGCAGCUAUGGAACCCUGAC
RNAcentral lists this long non-coding RNA (478 nucleotides) under Salmo salar (Atlantic salmon). RNAcentral's name for it is "lncRNA (ENSSSAG00000109331.1, ENSSSAG00075034824.1)". The record is from RNAcentral. Lineage: Eukaryota; Metazoa; Chordata; Actinopteri; Salmoniformes; Salmonidae.